AGCGCGCCUGGCUCGCCGUUCCCUCGCUGCUCUGCGGGGAGGGCCGCCUCUCCUCUCCCUCCCCCUUCCCGUUGGCUGCCUCCGCCUCCUUCGUCUGCCUCCACCCUCAAACCCUAACCCCGUCUUUCGGGGGCUGGGCUCGGAGCCCUCAGUCUGCCGGAGCUCUGGAUUUGGGCGCCUAACAAGUCCAGGACGCCUACCCCCAGGAUGGACAGCCGCUACACCAGCACUGCGGGCCUCGGGGAUUUAAACCAGCUGAGUGCGGCCAUCCCAGCCACCCGGGUGGAGGUGUCCGUGUCCUGCAGAAAUCUCCUUGACAGAGACACGUUUUCUAAAUCGGAUCCAAUUUGUGUCUUAUAUGUACAAGGAGUUGGAAAUAAAGAAUGGAGAGAGUUUGGAAGGACUGAAGUAAUUGAUAAUACUUUAAAUCCUGAUUUUGUAAGAAAAUUUAUUCUGGACUACUUUUUUGAAGAAAGAGAGAAUCUUCGUUUUGACUUAUAUGAUGUUGAUUCAAAGAGUUCCAACUUAUCCAAACAUGACUUUCUGGGACAAGUGCUUUGUACACUGGGGGAGAUUGUUGGUUCACAGGGAAGUCGCCUGGAAAAGCCAAUAGUAGGAAUUCCAGGGAAGAAAUGUGGUACAAUCAUACUUACAGCAGAGGAAUUAAACUGUUGCAGGGAUGCUGUUCUGAUGCAGUUUUGUGCAAACAAAUUGGACAAGAAGGACUUCUUUGGAAAAUCAGAUCCUUUUCUUGUAUUUUAUCGAAGUAAUGAAGAUGGCAGUUUCACAAUUUGCCACAAAACAGAAGUUGUCAAAAACACUCUAAAUCCUGUGUGGCAAGCAUUCAAGAUCUCAGUCAGAGCUUUAUGUAAUGGCGAUUAUGACAGAACAAUCAAAGUAGAGGUGUAUGACUGGGAUCGAGAUGGGAGUCAUGAUUUCAUUGGAGAAUUUACAACAAGCUAUAGGGAACUUUCUAGAGGGCAGUCACAAUUCAACGUGUAUGAGGUGAUAAAUCCCAAAAAGAAAGGGAAAAAGAAGAAGUACAUUAAUUCAGGAACAGUCACCUUACUUUCUUUCUUAGUAGAAACAGAAGUUUCAUUCCUUGACUAUAUUAAGGGAGGAACGCAAAUCAAUUUCACAGUGGCUAUUGAUUUUACAGCAUCAAAUGGCAACCCUGCCCAGCCAACUUCUCUCCACUACAUGAAUCCUUAUCAGCUGAAUGCCUAUGGUAUGGCACUGAAAGCAGUGGGAGAAAUCGUUCAAGACUAUGACAGUGAUAAAAUGUUCCCAGCUUUAGGUUUUGGUGCAAAACUGCCUCCAGAUGGAAGGAUAUCUCAUGAGUUUGCUUUGAAUGGGAACCCUCAAAACCCCUACUGUGAUGGCAUUGAGGGUGUGAUGGAGGCUUAUUAUAGGAGUCUGAAAUCUGUACAACUGUAUGGGCCAACCAACUUUGCUCCUGUAAUUAAUCAUGUAGCAAGAUACGCUGCUUCUGUAAAGGAUGGCUCCCAGUAUUUUGUGCUCCUGAUUGUGACUGAUGGGGUUAUCUCGGACAUGGCUCAAACUAAGGAGUCUAUAGUUAAUGCUUCAAAACUUCCAAUGUCAAUAAUUAUAGUAGGUGUUGGACCAGCAGAAUUUGAUGCAAUGGUUGAAUUGGAUGGAGAUGAUGUAAGAGUUUCCUCCAGAGGAAAAUAUGCUGAAAGGGACAUUGUGCAGGUUUGUCCAUGAAUCGCAUGACAGCAGAAAGCAGACAAGGCUUAUUCACUCUUCUGUCUCUAACAUACAACACAAGACCUCACUCUUAGUAGCUAAUCAAUUGAAUUAUUGAAACAGCAUGGGAGAAGGAUUCAAUGAAUACGGAUUUGGCUGUGAGGAAGAGACAUGGAGGACUACAGUUAUUAGAAUUCCAUCUACUGGUUGUUAAGACUGAAUUCCAUUUAACUUUCUGAGGAGGAAUAAAUACUCAAAAUCCUACCUGCAUCCUCCAUUAGAUAAUCUAUUUCCUGUAACUAUUUCCUAAACUGCAGUAAUGACUUUGAUUUGGCAUUUAAUUGCUUAUACAGCACUAUCUGACAUGGGACCUCUGCCUACAUCUGUCAAAAUUCUGCUCACCCACAAGGCCUUGGCUCAAAUUCUGCUUUUCAACAUUGGUUUCCUGCAUUUCCUAGAUUGCUGGGAAUCAAUACCUCUUUUUCUCCAACCUGUACAUGGGUGUCCUGCUCUGCCUCCUGGUGGGAGGGGAGGGGCUUUGUUUGCAAUGGAGAGUCUUACUGCUGUAACACUGCUGAGGGGCAGUUGAAGUCUGAGGUUCAUUAACGAGAAGCCUAUCUGCUUAAAGAUGUGAGUCAUGUUCUUGAAUAUAUCUUUUGUCAUAAAUAAAGGUAAUGCUUUACCACCCAUCCACUUUACUCCUUUGUCCUAUUUCUCAUUUCUUUAGAGAAGAAUGGACUAAUUUAUCCAGCUUUUAAAAGACCCGAACCAUCUCUCAAUGAGUUCCCUGCCCGCAAUGUUACCCAGUCUCCCACACGGCUCUGCACAGCCACUCCUGACUGGGAUUCCUCCUAUCUUGCAGGACAGAAUCCACAAAUCUUAGUUUCUGUUCUCCCCUAAAGCAGAGCCCAAGACAAUGUCUGAGGUGUGUGUAGUAAUCUCCCAGAGUGGGAGUGAGGAACUUGAGAGAUGGAAAGAGGCAAAUCUAUUACAAGGCUAUGAUAUCAAAGUCAGUGGAGGCAACAGGGCUCCCUCCUGCCCCCUAAACUUCUGAAGCUCAAAAGGAAGGCUUCAUCCACCCCAGGAUUAACUAGGAGAAGUGUAUCUGUGAGCCCCCAUCUACUAUUGGUUAGUGUGGCCUGUGCCUCUGCACCGCUCACACAUGCUUGAAGAAUGGGCUACUCCAGCAUCUGUGGCAUUGGAGCCUUUCCAGGGUGAGAAGGUAAAGACAUUCAGUACGUGCCCGAGGGAAGAUAUUGUCUGCAAAAUGUAAGCUGAAGCCUGCGUCAUCAGCCAUGGCUGAAAUCAGAAGUGAGGCUGAGAGAGUGGGUUGGGACUUGGGUUAUCAGAGGCAUAUGAAACACAAGGCCUUCAAGACACACACUGAACUGAAAUUGCCUAUCCUUCCAGCCUCUUGUUCUGCCCACAUAAAAAGCAACUUGGAUUAAAGUGCAUGCUGUUCUAAGAAUGCAUCAUUCUAUUUCAUACUCCAUGCUUUUCCACACUCCGAUCCUUUUUCAUUCUCAAGCCCACUCAUCUUCCACAGCUCUGCUUGGGUAUCUCUGCAUAAGUUAAUGUCUCCUUCCUUUUGUCAGAAUAAAGGAAACCUCAUUUAAAAUGGUGUCAGGAAGCCCUGAAGGGGGCGCUCUCAUGCACUACCACUCAGCUUUGCUUGCACAUCUCAGUAGUGAAACAGCUUACCUAACACACUCUAGCAGGAGAAAGAGAGAUUCUUCUCCUUGCCCAGCAACAGCCAGCCAGCGGGAAACUGCUUCUCAGCCAGUCAGAGCCACCAACUACCCUGAACUCUUACUCUUUUCCAGUGAACUUUUGUAGAAAACAUUCCCUCCCAACUUCCUCUUUUUAAUUCUAUGAAAGCGCCUGUCCUUUGUUCUCUGGACUUCCCUAUGGUUCAUCAUAAUUUGCU
RNA transcript from Camelus dromedarius (Arabian camel), 3634 nucleotides. It is a transcript of the gene named copine 8, with no coding region annotated. The record is from RefSeq and is a predicted model, not a curated record. The transcript is spliced from 21 exons. NCBI's taxonomy places the organism in Eukaryota, Metazoa, Chordata, Mammalia, Artiodactyla, Camelidae.